This 72-nucleotide transfer RNA is filed under the name Camelus bactrianus (Bactrian camel). It matches the Rfam family "tRNA". Rfam says of the family: Transfer RNA (tRNA) molecules are approximately 80 nucleotides in length. Their secondary structure includes four short double-helical elements and three loops (D, anti-codon, and T loops). The record is from Rfam by way of RNAcentral. RNAcentral also lists the same sequence under 2 other names. Lineage: Eukaryota; Metazoa; Chordata; Mammalia; Artiodactyla; Camelidae.
GAGGGUAGAGCUCAGUGGUAGAGUGCAUGCUUAGCAUGCAUGAGGUCCUGGGUUCAAUCCCCGGUACUUUCA